GACGAACCGUGCGAACGUUGUUCGGAAUCACUGGGCUUAAAGGGCGCGUAGGCGGGCCAUCAAGUCCGGGGUGAAAGCCCCCAGCUCAACUGGGGAAGUGCCUUGGAUACUGGUGGUCUUGAGGGAGGUAGGGGUCUGUGGAACUUCGGGUGGAGCGGUGAAAUGCGUUGAUAUCCGAAGGAACGCCGGUGGCGAAAGCGACGGACUGGAUCUCUUCUGACGCUGAGGCGCGAAAGCCAGGGGAG
RNAcentral lists this ribosomal RNA (245 nucleotides) under uncultured bacterium. Its description in RNAcentral is "partial 16S ribosomal RNA". It matches the Rfam family "Bacterial small subunit ribosomal RNA", at positions 524 to 768 of the family's 1533-position model. The record is from RNAcentral.